GUGCCAGCAGCUGCGGUUAAACAAAAAAUACUAAUAAAUUAUAUUUAAUAAUAAUAAAAGUGUUUAUUAAUUAAAUAGAAAAAAAUAUUAAGUGAAAUUUUAUUUCUUUUUGUAAUUUUUAGAUUAAUUGAUUUUAAUAAAAUUUGAUUAUAAACUAGGAUUAGAUACCCUAUUAUUCAAUUUGUAAUUAAAAGUAUUUGAGUAGUAGUAGUUAAAGUCUUGAAACUUAAAAAAUUUGGCGGUAUUUUAGUCUAUUCAGAGGAACCUGUAGUGUAAUUGAUAAUCCACGUUGGACCUUAUUUAGUUUUGUUUUACAGUUUGUAUACCGCCGUUAUUAAAAAAUUUUAUAAGAAUAAUAAUUUUUAUGAUUUUUAAUUAAAAAAUAAAUCAGGUCAAGGUGCAGCUUAUAAUUAAAUAUUUUAUGGGUUACAAUAAAUUUAUUUAUUAUGAAUUAAAUUGUGAAAAAUAAUUUAUGAAAGUGGAUUUGAAAGUAAAUUUUUAUAGAUAAAAAAAUUGAUUUUAGCUCUAAAAUAUG
This 535-nucleotide ribosomal RNA is filed under the name Chrysotus longipalpus. Its description in RNAcentral is "partial 12S ribosomal RNA". RNAcentral also lists the same sequence under 1 other name. Lineage: Eukaryota; Metazoa; Arthropoda; Insecta; Diptera; Dolichopodidae. The record is from RNAcentral.